UAGAGGACAUAGCGUCAGUUAAGGAUGUGUGGAAAUGGAGGAGUGGUCCUAUUUUAGCAGCAGCUCUAAAUGCACCUUUUGAAUUCAAGAGCAAGUUUGACAUUAUUCUCAACUUUACUUACGACAAGUCUGACAAAGAAUGCACAUUUUUGUCCUACCACAGUCCAGCAUUAUUUAGAAAAAGGAAAAAUACCAACAAAA
Long non-coding RNA from Saccostrea cuccullata (small rock oyster), 201 nucleotides. RefSeq lists it as uncharacterized. The record is from RefSeq and is a predicted model, not a curated record. NCBI's taxonomy places the organism in Eukaryota, Metazoa, Mollusca, Bivalvia, Ostreida, Ostreidae. The transcript is spliced from 3 exons.